This 468-nucleotide ribosomal RNA is filed under the name uncultured bacterium. Its description in RNAcentral is "partial 16S ribosomal RNA". It matches the Rfam family "Bacterial small subunit ribosomal RNA", at positions 28 to 507 of the family's 1533-position model. The record is from RNAcentral.
GACGAACGCUGGCGGCGUGCUUAACACAUGCAAGUCGAACGGAAAGGCCCUGCUUUUGUGGGGUGCUCGAGUGGCGAACGGGUGAGUAACACGUGAGUAACCUGCCCUUGACUUUGGGAUAACUUCAGGAAACUGGGGCUAAUACCGGAUAGGAGCUCCUGCUGCAUGGUGGGGGUUGGAAAGUUUCGGCGGUUGGGGAUGGACUCGCGGCUUAUCAGCUUGUUGGUGGGGUAGUGGCUUACCAAGGCUUUGACGGGUAGCCGGCCUGGGAGGGUGACCGGCCACAUUGGGACUGAGAUACGGCCCAGACUCCUACGGGAGGCAGCAGUGGGGAAUAUUGCACAAUGGGCGGAAGCCUGAUGCAGCAACGCCGCGUGCGGGAUGACGGCCUUCGGGUUGUAAACCGCAUUCGCCUGUGACGAAGCGUGAGUGACGGUAAUGGGUAAAGAAGCACCGGCUAACUACGUG